CACCGGCGGUGUUAGGGAUGACAAUAGCAAGCAACAUGAUACCAGUAAUGUCUACGGAUCAGACACCCGUAAACAACAUGGAACUAUAGGUGAUACCGGUAGACAGCAAGGACCAACCGCUGGCUUUACUGCUGACACUGGUAGACAACAUGGAACUACCGGUGGUUUUACUGGUGACACCCAUAGACAAUAUGGCACUACCGGUGGUUUGACCGGUGACACCGGGAGACAACAUGGGACUACCGGUGGUUUUACUGGUGACACCCGGAGACAACAUGACACCGGGAGACAACAUGGGACUACCGGUGGUUUUGCUGGUGAUACCGGGAGACAACAUGGGAAUACCGGCGGCUUCACUGCUGACACUGGUCUGGGAGGCCCUUACGUUGGAGCCAACACCGCUGACACAGGGACUGGUCCUAGAAGUGGAACCACAGGUGGCAGCGGCUAUGGAUCGGGUGGUGGCGCAGGUGGUGGUUAUGGAAGUGGAACUGGGCAUGGUAUCAACACUGGGGGAGCACACAGAGAUGAUGGGUAUGGAAGGGAGUAUCGUGAGCAUGACCAGUCUCGUGGAGAUCAGGACAAGAAAGGGAUAAUAGACAAGAUUAAAGAGAAGCUUCCCGGAGUACACAGUGACAACAGCAAGUAGAAACAUAUGUGUGUGUUUGCAUGCAUGUAUACUACAUAGUAUAAACAUGUUAUAUUGUUGUGUUUUUGAAUAAGUUUGCUGCAUAUAUACGUACUCGUACAGUACUGUCUUGUCGUGUAAAUGUGGUGGAUCUUGUAUAUGGUUAAAGUGUAUGCAAGAGGAAUAAAAUGUGCAUGCAUGCAAGGGAAAGAAGGCAUAGAUGUUCUGUUCUGCCAAUGCAUAUGUAAAACCUACCCUGUUGUAUAGCAGGGUGCUUCAGUUGUGUGUUUUAAAUUUUCCAAUGAAGCAACUUUUUAUUUCUUUCUUUCUUGAUCAUUUAAAUUUUAUGUGACCAGCUAUUUUCUGUUAUCACCUUCCUUAAUAUCUUUUUAACAUGCAUAAGAGAAAAAUUGUUAGAAAGAAUCACUGG
This 1058-nucleotide long non-coding RNA is filed under the name Vigna radiata. RNAcentral's name for it is "long non-coding RNA (VRAD_LNC000187)". Lineage: Eukaryota; Viridiplantae; Streptophyta; Magnoliopsida; Fabales; Fabaceae. The record is from RNAcentral.